This 253-nucleotide ribosomal RNA is filed under the name uncultured bacterium. RNAcentral's name for it is "partial 16S ribosomal RNA". It matches the Rfam family "Bacterial small subunit ribosomal RNA", at positions 524 to 776 of the family's 1533-position model. The record is from RNAcentral.
UACGUAGGGGGCAAGCGUUAUCCGGAUUUACUGGGUGUAAAGGGAGCGUAGACGGUUAUGCAAGUCAGAAGUGAAAGCCCAAAGCUCAACUUCGGGACUGCUUUUGAAACUGUGUAACUAGAGUGCAGGAGGGGUAAGCGGAAUUCCUAGCGUAGCGGUGAAAUGCGUAGAUAUUAGGAGGAACACCGGCGGCGAAGGCGGCUUACUGGACUGUAACUGACGUUGAGGCUCGAAAGCGUGGGGAGCAAACAGG